Non-coding RNA from Ailuropoda melanoleuca (giant panda), 73 nucleotides. NCBI's taxonomy places the organism in Eukaryota, Metazoa, Chordata, Mammalia, Carnivora, Ursidae. The record is from Rfam.
GCCUGGCUGGCUCAGUCAGUAGAGCAUGUGACUCUUGAUCUCAGGGUUGUGAGUUUAAGCCCCAUGAUGGGUG